GUACUGUGUUUAAUGAAGUGUGCCCAGGACUUUGCUCAGUGACUGGAUGACACAGUAGGAGUAACAAGAAAGUUCACAUGGGUGAACCGUGGUAGGUGGACAUCGUCUCUCUCACCUCUUCCCAAAUCAAGGAUGAAGUACAUCUUCAUAAAUCCUCAUGUGAAUUAUUUUGCUACCUCUAGAAGCAUUUUCUAAAACAAGGUGCAGCAAUCAGUUGAGUGAAUUUGUCACCAGAGCUUAUGUUUUCUGAAAGAACCCUAUCCUCAGGCAGUUGUUCCUAAGAGGACCCCACUGGAAAUCGGACUGUUCAACUCACCUGGCAGCCACUCACAGAGCCCGUGGAACUCUGGCCCAAGGCUCUCUGACUCCUUCUCGGCUUAGCGGCUAAAGACUGACACUGCCCGAUCGCCUCGGAAGCCCCGUAGACCAUCACGGACGCCGAGCUUUAGGUAACUCUCACAGUGGAGGAUGAAGAAACUGAGGUCCAGAGAAGUUAAACGACCUUCCUAAGAUUACACAGCUUAGUAAGUGGCAGAACCACAGCUGGAAGCCAGGUCCUUCCUCACGCAAGUCCUGGCUCAUUCAUUCCUCUUCCAAAGACUUGCUGAGCACCUUCUAGGUGCCAGAUGCGGUGCUGGCUCCUGGGGACAUGGGAGUGAACAGGCCAGGCGUGGCCCUGAACCAUCAAAUAGACAACCACAGAAAUAACAACAACAAAGACAAAACCGGGCCCUUCCACACAGUAGCUGGAACACAAAGGAAGAUCAGCCAAGCCUCAACAUAAUCUCAUAAAAAUUCUUCAAAUAUCCCAUUGUUAUGGAUUCAUACAUCAGGAAAGCAGAUGCCAAGAACCUGAACACCUUCUACUGGUAACAUAUAUUUUGGCGAGCCAGCCUGGAGACAAGACCACUAUGGGCAACUUCCUGUCUAUUCUACCUGGUGUCACUGUGGACAACUUCCUAUCUAUUCCACCCGAUUCACCGCUUGGCUACAUCCUCCACCAUUGGGAUGAAUUUGACCCUAACAAUCUAAAGAAAAGGCAUAUGAUUUUUUACUGCAA
Homo sapiens (human) is the source of this 1060-nucleotide long non-coding RNA. Ensembl annotates it as long intergenic non-protein coding RNA 2700. The record is from Ensembl. Lineage: Eukaryota; Metazoa; Chordata; Mammalia; Primates; Hominidae.